CCAAUACUCCUUCUGUUCGAAAAAGCUUGUCCCAAGAUUGUUUCUCAAAUGAAUGUAUCUUGCACUAACUUAGUGCUACAUGCACCCAUUUGGUGGACAAACUUUUUCGGACAGAAGGAGUAUAUA
Molecule: non-coding RNA, 126 nt
Organism: Triticum aestivum (bread wheat)
Lineage: Eukaryota; Viridiplantae; Streptophyta; Magnoliopsida; Poales; Poaceae
Source: Rfam